CCAAAAAAAAAAAAUGUAGCCUCGAUUGUGAGACUCGGCCAAACAAUAAAGAGAUUUGGAGUUAAUUAUGUUGCUUGGCCUAAAAGAAACAAGGGUAUUAUCAAUCUGUAUACAUGGAAGAUUACAAAAUUAAGUGUUAGAGAAAACUACUGUUGAGCCUUCUCUCUCCAUAAUGAAAAUACAUUUAUACCCUAUAUCAUAUUUGUUCUUGACGUUAAAAAUUUUGUUACCUUUUAAUAAUAAUGUUAUCAUCUUCCCAUAAUUAUACAAUCUUUGAAAUCAAAUCGUUGGUUCAAUAGCUGAUAAUUUGUUCAUAUCGUCAACUGUAUUAUUAACAUGUUAAGUAGGUUUGUAUCUUAAGUUUUUUCAUCCAUAUAUCAAAACUCCAUCUAUAUUUCACUAACAAUUUUAUCCUGAUAAUACGUUAUCUGUUAACUAUUCUGAUGCAUGUAUUUUUUCUACAUGAUUAUUCAGUCGCAAGUCGACUUUUUUUGCUCUUCAUGCUAAAUAUUUUGUUACCUUUUAAUAAUAAUGUUAUCUUCUUCGCAUAUAUAUGUGUCUUUGAAAUCUAAACAUUGGUUCAAUAACUGAAAAUUUGUUUAUAUCGUCAAAUAUAUUAUUAACAUAUUAAGUUGGUUUAUACUCCAUGUCAUUUCAUCCAUACAUCAAACUCCAUCCAUAUUUCGCUAACGAUAUUAUCUCGAUAAUGCGUUAUCUGCUAACUAUCCUGAUUUUUAUCAUAUCUCUUUGUAGGGGUAUAUUUGUCAUAUAGAUUUUAGUUGAAAA
RNAcentral lists this small RNA (786 nucleotides) under Arabidopsis thaliana (thale cress). Its description in RNAcentral is "ATSL025710". Lineage: Eukaryota; Viridiplantae; Streptophyta; Magnoliopsida; Brassicales; Brassicaceae. The record is from RNAcentral.